UAGGGAAUCUUCCACAAUGGACGAAAGUCUGAUGGAGCAAUGCCGCGUGAGUGAAGAAGGGUUUCGGCUCGUAAAACUCUGUUGUUAGAGAAGAACGUGGGUGAGAGUAACUGUUCACCCAGUGACGGUAUCUAACCAGAAAGCCACGGCUAACUACGUGCUU
Molecule: ribosomal RNA, 163 nt
Filed under: uncultured Lactobacillus sp.
Lineage: Bacteria; Bacillati; Bacillota; Bacilli; Lactobacillales; Lactobacillaceae
Description: partial 16S ribosomal RNA
Rfam family: Bacterial small subunit ribosomal RNA
Source: RNAcentral